UGGGGAAUUUUGGACAAUGGGCGAAAGCCUGAUCCAGCAAUGCCGCGUGUGUGAAGAAGGCCUUCGGGUUGUAAAGCACUUUUGUCCGGAAAGAAAUCCUCUGGGUUAAUACCUCGGGGGGAUGACGGUACCGGAAGAAUAAGCACCGGCUAACUACGUGCCAGCAGCCGCGGUAAUACGUAGGGUGCAAGCGUUAAUCGGAAUUACUGGGCGUAAAGCGUGCGCAGGCGGUUUUGUAAGACGGAUGUGAAAUCCCCGGGCUUAACCUGGGAACUGCAUUCGUGACUGCAAGGCUAGAGUAUGGCAGAGGGGGGUAGAAUUCCACGUGUAGCAGUGAAAUGCGUAGAGAUGUGGAGGAAUACCGAUGGCGAAGGCAGCCCCCUGGGCCAAUACUGACGCUCAUGCACGAAAGCGUGGGGAGCAAACAGGAUUAGAUACCCUGGUAGUCCACGCCCUAAACGAUGUCAACUAGUUGUCGGGGAUUCAUUUCCUUAGUAACGUAGCUAACGCGUGAAGUUGACCGCCUGGGGGAGUACGGUCGCAAGAUUAAAACUCAAAUGAAUUGAC
This 567-nucleotide ribosomal RNA is filed under the name uncultured bacterium. RNAcentral describes it as "partial 16S ribosomal RNA". It matches the Rfam family "Bacterial small subunit ribosomal RNA", at positions 355 to 914 of the family's 1533-position model. The record is from RNAcentral.